RNAcentral lists this ribosomal RNA (216 nucleotides) under Glomeromycotina sp. Its description in RNAcentral is "partial small subunit ribosomal RNA". The stretch from base 40 to 216 matches the Rfam family "Eukaryotic small subunit ribosomal RNA", at positions 686 to 864 of the family's 1831-position model. The record is from RNAcentral. Lineage: Eukaryota; Fungi; Glomeromycota.
GGGUCAGGAGGUUGGUCGUGCCACCGGUACGUACUGGUCUCACUAAUUCCUCCUUCCUGAAGAACCGUAAUGCCAUUAAUUCGGUGUUGCGGGGAAACAGGACUGUUACUUUGAAAAAAUUAGAGUGUUUAAAGCAAGCUAACGCUUGAAUACAUUAGCAUGGAAUAACGAAAUAGGACGAUCGAUCCUAUUUUGUUGGUUUCUAGGAUUGACGUA